UACGGAGGAUGCAAGCGUUAUCCGGAAUGAUUGGGCGUAAAGCGUCCGCAGGUGGCGAUGUAAGUCUGCUGUUAAAGAGUGAGGCUCAACCUCAUAAGAGCAGUGGAAACUACAUAGCUAGAGUACGUUCGGGGCAGAGGGAAUUCCUGGUGUAGCGGUGAAAUGCGUAGAGAUCAGGAAGAACACCGGUGGCGAAGGCGCUCUGCUAGGCCGUAACUGACACUGAGGGACGAAAGCUAGGGGAGCGAAUGGG
RNAcentral lists this ribosomal RNA (253 nucleotides) under uncultured bacterium. RNAcentral's name for it is "partial 16S ribosomal RNA". It matches the Rfam family "Bacterial small subunit ribosomal RNA", at positions 524 to 776 of the family's 1533-position model. The record is from RNAcentral.